UACGGGGGGGGCAAGCGUUGUUCGGAAUUACUGGGCGUAAAGGGCUCGUAGGUGGCCGACUAAGUCAGACGUGAAAUCCCUCGGCUUAACCGGGGAACUGCGUCUGAUACUGGACGGCUUGAGUUCGGGAGAGGGAUGCGGAAUUCCAGGUGUAGCGGUGAAAUGCGUAGAUAUCUGGAGGAACACCGGUGGCGAAGGCGGCAUCCUGGACCGACACUGACACUGAGGAGCGAAAGCCAGGGGAGCAAACGGG
RNAcentral lists this ribosomal RNA (253 nucleotides) under uncultured bacterium. Its description in RNAcentral is "partial 16S ribosomal RNA". It matches the Rfam family "Bacterial small subunit ribosomal RNA", at positions 524 to 776 of the family's 1533-position model. The record is from RNAcentral.